UCAAAGAUUAAGCCAUGCAUGUCUAAGUAUAAGCACUUUAUACUGUGAAACUGCGAAUGGCUCAUUAAAUCAGUUAUCGUUUAUUUGAUAGUACCUUACUACAUGGAUACCUGUGGUAAUUCUAGAGCUAAUACAUGCUGAAAACCUCGACUUCGGAAGGGGUGUAUUUAUUAGAUAAAAAACCAAUGCCCUUCGGGGCUCCUUGGUGAAUCAUAAUAACUUAACGAAUCGCAUGGCCUUGCGCCGGCGAUGGUUCAUUCAAAUUUCUGCCCUAUCAACUUUCGAUGGUAGGAUAGUGGCCUACCAUGGUGGCAACGGGUAACGGGGAAUUAGGGUUCGAUUCCGGAGAGGGAGCCUGAGAAACGGCUACCACAUCCAAGGAAGGCAGCAGGCGCGCAAAUUACCCAAUCCCGACACGGGGAGGUAGUGACAAUAAAUACUGAUACGGGGCUCUUUGGGUCUCGAAUGGAAGAGUACAUUCUAAAUCCCUUAACGAGGAACAAUUGGAGGGCAAGUCUGGUGCCAGCAGCCGCGGUAAUUCCAGCUCCAAUAGCGUAUAUUAAAGUUGUUGCAGUUAAAAAGCUCGUAGUUGAACCUUGGGUCUGGCUGGCCGGUCCGCCUCACCGCGAGUACUGGUCCGGCUGGACCUUUCCUUCUGGGGAAUCUCAUGGCCUUCACUGGCUGUGGGGGGAACCAGGACUUUUACUGUGAAAAAAUUAGAGUGUUCAAAGCAGGCCUUUGCUCGAAUACAUUAGCAUGGAAUAAUAGAAUAGGACGUGCGGUUCUAUUUUGUUGGUUUCUAGGACCGCCGUAAUGAUUAAUAGGGAUAGUCGGGGGCGUCAGUAUUCAGCUGUCAGAGGUGAAAUUCUUGGAUUUGCUGAAGACUAACUACUGCGAAAGCAUUCGCCAAGGAUGUUUUCAUUAAUCAGGGAACGAAAGUUAGGGGAUCGAAGACGAUCAGAUACCGUCGUAGUCUUAACCAUAAACUAUGCCGACUAGGGAUCGGACGGUGUUUCUAUUAUGACCCGUUCGGCGCCUUACGAGAAAUCAAAGU
RNAcentral lists this ribosomal RNA (1054 nucleotides) under Aspergillus awamori. RNAcentral describes it as "SSU rRNA". It matches the Rfam family "Eukaryotic small subunit ribosomal RNA", at positions 37 to 1104 of the family's 1831-position model. The record is from RNAcentral. Lineage: Eukaryota; Fungi; Ascomycota; Eurotiomycetes; Eurotiales; Aspergillaceae.